Molecule: ribosomal RNA, 491 nt
Filed under: uncultured bacterium
Lineage: Bacteria
Description: partial 16S ribosomal RNA
Rfam family: Bacterial small subunit ribosomal RNA
Source: RNAcentral
AGUGAACGCUGGCGGUAGGCCUAACACAUGCAAGUCGAACGGCAGCACAGUAAGAGCUUGCUCUUACGGGUGGCGAGUGGCGGACGGGUGAGGAAUACAUCGGAAUCUACUUUUUCGUGGGGGAUAACGUAGGGAAACUUACGCUAAUACCGCAUACGACCUACGGGUGAAAGCAGGGGAUCUUCGGACCUUGCGCGAUUGAAUGAGCCGAUGUCGGAUUAGCUAGUUGGCGGGGUAAAGGCCCACCAAGGCGACGAUCCGUAGCUGGUCUGAGAGGAUGAUAAGCCACAUGGAACCGGGGAAAGGGCCAAGACUCCAACGGGAGGAAGCAGGGGGAAUAAUUGAACAAGGGGGGAAGGCCGGACCAGGCAUAACGGGUUGGGUGAAGAAGGCUUUGGGGUUGUAAGCCCUUUUGUUGGGAAAGAAAAGCAGCAGGUUAAUACCCCGCUGUUCUGACGGUACCCAAAGAAUAAGCACCGGCUAACUUCGUG